RNAcentral lists this ribosomal RNA (378 nucleotides) under Triticum aestivum (bread wheat). RNAcentral's name for it is "partial small subunit ribosomal RNA". Lineage: Eukaryota; Viridiplantae; Streptophyta; Magnoliopsida; Poales; Poaceae. The record is from RNAcentral.
AUGGAGGGCCUCUUGCAUUGGGAUUUUUCCCCGGGCCUAGCCAUUGUGGAUCAGGUGAGAAGGAAAUUUGGAUCCACGGUGCACUUUCCCCCCUCUCGGGACUCCAAGGAGUUCUUUCUAGUGGCCUCAUUUUCCUCUGCCUCCUUUCCUCUUAAUGUGGAUGCAAUUGGAAUUGCUUUACAAUGAUGUAUUGGUGGCAUUAGCGUUGGUUUCAAUGUGAUCCAGCUCAACUCUAGAGCAUUUUGGUUUUCUGUUGCCAAUAAUAAAGUGGGACACUUCAUAUAUAGUCUUAAGGACCGCAUUUGGCUGGAUUUUGUUUGUCACUUUCAUCUGUUCACUGGCCGUUUUGCUCAUGCCCCAACCUUCAUCCAGUGCUGA